RNAcentral lists this transfer RNA (62 nucleotides) under human gut metagenome. It matches the Rfam family "tRNA", at positions 6 to 65 of the family's 71-position model. Rfam says of the family: Transfer RNA (tRNA) molecules are approximately 80 nucleotides in length. RNAcentral also lists the same sequence under 3 other names. The record is from RNAcentral.
ACUUAGCUCAGUGGUAGAGCAAUCGGCUGUUAACCGAUUGGUCGCUGGUUCGAGCCCAGCAG